AUAAAGUUGGCAGAUUAGUGCAAAUAAUUUAGGUUUAUUUUAUAAGAAUUUAUUUCUUACUUUUUA
RNAcentral lists this transfer RNA (66 nucleotides) under Sepiadarium kochi. Its description in RNAcentral is "tRNA-Leu". The record is from RNAcentral. Lineage: Eukaryota; Metazoa; Mollusca; Cephalopoda; Sepiida; Sepiadariidae.